This 216-nucleotide ribosomal RNA is filed under the name uncultured bacterium. Its description in RNAcentral is "partial 16S ribosomal RNA". It matches the Rfam family "Bacterial small subunit ribosomal RNA", at positions 118 to 351 of the family's 1533-position model. The record is from RNAcentral.
UGGGAAUCUGCCCUUGGGUUCGGGAUAACAGUUGGAAACGACUGCUAAUACCGGAUGAUGUCUUCGGACCAAAGAUUUAUCGCCCAGGGAUGAGCCCGCGUAAGAUUAGCUAGUUGGUGGGGUAAAAGCCUACCAAGGCGACGAUCUUUAGCUGGUCUGAGAGGAUGAUCAGCCACACUGGGACUGAGACACGGCCCAGACUCCUACGGGAGGCAG